This 253-nucleotide ribosomal RNA is filed under the name uncultured bacterium. Its description in RNAcentral is "partial 16S ribosomal RNA". It matches the Rfam family "Bacterial small subunit ribosomal RNA", at positions 524 to 776 of the family's 1533-position model. The record is from RNAcentral.
UACAUAGGGGGCAAGCGUUGUCCGGAUUCAUUGGGCGUAAAGAGCUCGUAGGCGGUUUAGAAAGUCGGAAGUUAAAACGUAAGGCUUAACCUUGCGGUGCUUUCGAUACUUCUAUGACUUGAGUGUGUCAGAGGUUGAUGGAAUUCCAGGUGUAGCGGUGAAAUGCGCAGAUAUCUGGAGGAACACCAGUAGCGAAGGCGGUCAACUGGGACAUUACUGACGCUGAGGAGCGAAAGCAUGGGUAGCGAACAGG